UACGGAGGGGGCUAGCGUUGUUCGGAAUUACUGGGCGUAAAGCGUACGUAGGCGGCUUUGUAAGUUAGAGGUGAAAGCCCGGGGCUCAACUCCGGAAUUGGCCUUUAAGACUGCAUCGCUUGAAUCAUGGAGAGGUGAGUGGAAUUCCGAGUGUAGAGGUGAAAUUCGUAGAUAUUCGGAAGAACACCAGUGGCGAAGGCGACUCACUGGACAUGUAUUGACGCUGAGGUACGAAAGCGUGGGGAGCAAACAGG
Molecule: ribosomal RNA, 254 nt
Filed under: uncultured bacterium
Lineage: Bacteria
Description: partial 16S ribosomal RNA
Rfam family: Bacterial small subunit ribosomal RNA
Source: RNAcentral